GAAAUGCGAUAAGUAAUGUGAAUUGCAGAAUUCAGUGAAUCAUCGAAUCUUUGAACGCACCUUGCGCCCCCUGGCAUUCCGGGGGGCAUGCCUGUCCGAGCGUCAUUGCUGCCCUUCAAGCCCGGCUUGUGUGUUGGGUCGUCGUCCCCUCCGGGGGACGGGCCCGAAAGGCAGCGGCGGCACUGCGUCCGGUCCUCGAGCGUAUGGGGCUUUGUCACCCGCUCGAUAAGGACCGGCCGGGCGCCAGCCGGCGUCUCCAACCUUUUUUUCUCAGGUUGACCUCGGAUCAGGUAGGGAUACCCGCUGAACUUAAGC
RNAcentral lists this unclassified non-coding RNA (315 nucleotides) under plant metagenome. RNAcentral describes it as "partial contains 5.8S ribosomal RNA, internal transcribed spacer 2, and large subunit ribosomal RNA". The stretch from base 1 to 105 matches the Rfam family "5.8S ribosomal RNA", at positions 50 to 154 of the family's 154-position model. The record is from RNAcentral.